GGCGUGCUUAACACAUGCAAGUCACGGGGGCCCGCAAGGGCAACCGGCGAACGGGUGCGUAACACGUGAGCAACCUGCCUUUGUGUGGGGGAUAGCCGGGCUAACGCCCGGGUAAUACCGCAUACGGUCGCUGGGGGGAGUCCCUUGGCGAAGAAACCUCCGGGGCACAGAGAGGGGCUCGCGGCCUAUCAGCUAGUUGGCGGGGUAAUGGCCCACCAAGGCGACGACGGGUAGCUGGUCUGAGAGGAUGGCCAGCCACAUUGGGACUGAGAGACGGCCCAGACUCCUACGGGAGGCAGCAGUGGGGAAUCUUGCGCAAUGGCCGAAAGGCUGACGCAGCGACGCCGCGUGUGGGAGGACGCCUUUCGGGGUGUAAACCACUGUUGCCCGGGACGAACAGCCUGUUUCGACAGGCCUGACGGUACCGGGUGAGGAAGCACCGGCUAACUCCGUGCCAGCAGCCGCGGUAAUACAGAGGGGGCAAGCGUUGUUCGGAAUUACUGGGCGUAAAGGGCGCGUAGGCGGCCUUCUAAGUCGAACGUGAAAUCCCUGGGCUCUACCCAGGAACUGCGUCCGAGACUGGGAGGCUUGAAUCCGGGAGAGGGAUGCGGAAUUCCAGGUGUAGCGGUGAAAUGCGUAGAUAUCUGGAGGAACACCGGUGGCGAAGGCGGCAUCCUGGACCGGCAUUGACGCUGAGGCGCGAAAGCCAG
This 710-nucleotide ribosomal RNA is filed under the name uncultured soil bacterium. Its description in RNAcentral is "bacterial SSU rRNA". It matches the Rfam family "Bacterial small subunit ribosomal RNA", at positions 41 to 763 of the family's 1533-position model. The record is from RNAcentral.